Long non-coding RNA from Bactrocera latifrons, 473 nucleotides. RefSeq lists it as uncharacterized. The record is from RefSeq and is a predicted model, not a curated record. NCBI's taxonomy places the organism in Eukaryota, Metazoa, Arthropoda, Insecta, Diptera, Tephritidae. The transcript has 2 exons.
AAAAGAGUCAGAAAAAUAGAUUUAGAUACAUUUAUUUCGAAAGUUUCAAUAUAUUUCUAAUAAAAUACUAUCUUAAAAGUAGACAACCUGGUUUUGUCUAAACAAAUAACAAAGAAGUGAAUUGCAUUGUAAAAAAAAGGAGUGUCGUUUGUUGCAGGGGAAAACUGCUAAAGAAAGCAAAACAAAACGGAAUGCGAGAAAAAUAAAUGGAAGACAAACAAAAAUAAAGGGUAUGAGGUGUGCACAUUAAAAUCCACAUUGAAGCUUAUUCGAUGACUAACUCGAAGACGCUGCCAUUUGCGCUGAUAUAAUAUUCAGCACGGCUCGUAUGUUUGGCGUACUUGCUUGACUGACUACCGGCCUGCGCUUGAUGGCAAAGCAAACAUAAAUAUGUGCACAGUUACUGACGAAUAACUAUAAACUACUAUAGGAGUUGACUAUUCAUGGAAAACUGUUACGCAGCUCCAUCACAG